This 468-nucleotide ribosomal RNA is filed under the name uncultured bacterium. Its description in RNAcentral is "partial 16S ribosomal RNA". It matches the Rfam family "Bacterial small subunit ribosomal RNA", at positions 28 to 507 of the family's 1533-position model. The record is from RNAcentral.
GACGAACGCUGGCGGCGUGCUUAACGCAUGCAAGUCGAACGGAAAGGCCCUGCUUUUGUGUGGUGCUCGAGUGGCGAACGGAUGGGUAACACAUGAGUAACCUACCCUUGACUUUGGGAUAACUUCAAGAAACUAGGGCUUAUACCUGAUAGGAACUCCUGCGUCUUGGUGGGGGUUGGAAAGGUUCGGCGGUUGGGGCUGGACUCGCGGCUUAUCAGCUUGGUGGUGGGGUAGUGGCUUACCAAGGCUUUGACGAGGAGCCGGCUUGAGAGGGUGACCGGCCCCAGUGGGAUAGGGGUACGGCCCGGGCUGAUACGGGAGGAAGCAGUGGAGAAUAUUGCACAAUGGGCGGAAGCCUGAUGCAGCAACUCCGCGUGCGGGAUGUCGGCCUUCGGGGUGUAAACGCCUUUCGCCUGUGAGGAAGAGUGAGUGACGGUAAUGGGUAAAGAAGCAACGGCUAACUACGUG